RNAcentral lists this ribosomal RNA (254 nucleotides) under uncultured bacterium. RNAcentral describes it as "partial 16S ribosomal RNA". It matches the Rfam family "Bacterial small subunit ribosomal RNA", at positions 524 to 777 of the family's 1533-position model. The record is from RNAcentral.
UACGGGGGGGGUAAGCGUUGUUCGGAAUUACUGGGCGUAAAGGGCUCGUAGGCGGCCAACUAAGUCGGACGUGAAAUCCCUCAGCUUAACUGGGGAACUGCGUCCGAUACUGGAUGGCUUGGAUUUGGGAGAGGGAUGCGGAAUUCCAGGUGUAGCGGUGAAAUGCGUAGAUAUCUGGAGGAACACCGGUGGCGAAGGCGGCAUCCUGGACCGGUAUUGACACUGAGGCGCGAAAGCCAGGGGAGCAAAGCGGG